RNAcentral lists this ribosomal RNA (898 nucleotides) under Acinetobacter variabilis. Its description in RNAcentral is "bacterial SSU rRNA". It matches the Rfam family "Bacterial small subunit ribosomal RNA", at positions 385 to 1275 of the family's 1533-position model. Lineage: Bacteria; Pseudomonadati; Pseudomonadota; Gammaproteobacteria; Moraxellales; Moraxellaceae. The record is from RNAcentral.
GAUCCAGCCAUGCCGCGUGUGUGAAGAAGGCCUUUUGGUUGUAAAGCACUUUAAGCGAGGAGGAGGCUUACCUGGUUAAUACCUGGGAUAAGUGGACGUUACUCGCAGAAUAAGCACCGGCUAACUCUGUGCCAGCAGCCGCGGUAAUACAGAGGGUGCAAGCGUUAAUCGGAUUUACUGGGCGUAAAGCGCGCGUAGGUGGCUAAUUAAGUCAAAUGUGAAAUCCCCGAGCUUAACUUGGGAAUUGCAUUCGAUACUGGUUAGCUAGAGUAUGGGAGAGGAUGGUAGAAUUCCAGGUGUAGCGGUGAAAUGCGUAGAGAUCUGGAGGAAUACCGAUGGCGAAGGCAGCCAUCUGGCCUAAUACUGACACUGAGGUGCGAAAGCAUGGGGAGCAAACAGGAUUAGAUACCCUGGUAGUCCAUGCCGUAAACGAUGUCUACUAGCCGUUGGGGCCCUUGAGGCUUUAGUGGCGCAGCUAACGCGAUAAGUAGACCGCCUGGGGAGUACGGUCGCAAGACUAAAACUCAAAUGAAUUGACGGGGGCCCGCACAAGCGGUGGAGCAUGUGGUUUAAUUCGAUGCAACGCGAAGAACCUUACCUGGCCUUGACAUACAGAGAACUUUCCAGAGAUGGAUUGGUGCCUUCGGGAACUCUGAUACAGGUGCUGCAUGGCUGUCGUCAGCUCGUGUCGUGAGAUGUUGGGUUAAGUCCCGCAACGAGCGCAACCCUUUUCCUUAUUUGCCAGCACUUCGGGUGGGAACUUUAAGGAUACUGCCAGUGACAAACUGGAGGAAGGCGGGGACGACGUCAAGUCAUCAUGGCCCUUACGGCCAGGGCUACACACGUGCUACAAUGGUCGGUACAAAGGGUUGCUACUGCGCGAGCAGAUGCUAAUCUC